UACGUAGGUGGCAAGCGUUGUCCGGAAUUACUGGGUGUAAAGCGCGUGUAGGCGGGAGGCCAAGUCUGCUGUGAAAUCGCUCGGCUCAACUGGGCGGGGUCGGUGGAAACUGGUCACCUGGAGGACGGUAGAGGCGAGUGGAAUUCCUGGUGUAGCGGUGAAAUGCGUAGAUAUCAGGAGGAACACCUGUGGUGUAGACGGCUCUCUGGACCGCAACUGACGCUGAGACACGAAAGCGUGGGUAGCAAACAGG
This 253-nucleotide ribosomal RNA is filed under the name uncultured bacterium. RNAcentral describes it as "partial 16S ribosomal RNA". It matches the Rfam family "Bacterial small subunit ribosomal RNA", at positions 524 to 776 of the family's 1533-position model. The record is from RNAcentral.